UAAACGGCCCUUUUCAGGGCCACCCCUCUGACAACUAAACGACUCUU
Molecule: non-coding RNA, 47 nt
Organism: Helobdella robusta
Lineage: Eukaryota; Metazoa; Annelida; Clitellata; Rhynchobdellida; Glossiphoniidae
Source: Rfam